CUGCCCAAUGAUUAAUUUUAAAUGGCCGCAGUAUCUUAACUGUGCAAAGGUAGCAUAAUCAUUUGCCUUCUAAUUAAAGGCUUGUAUGAAUGAAUAAACGAAAAUUUAACUGUCUCAUUUAAAUUUAUAAAAAUUAAUCUAAAAGUGAAAAAGCUUUUAUUUUAUUAAUGGACAAGAAGACCCUAUUGAGCUUUAUUUUUAAUUAUUUAUUCUUUUUAUAUUUAAAUAAAAUAUUAAAUAAAAUAAAAAUUAGUUGGGGCGACUAAAGAAUAAUAAUACCUUCUUUUUAUUUAAAGGACUAUAAUCCAUAAAAAUGAUCUAAUAUAUUAAUUCACAAAAAAAGCUACCAUAGGGAUAACAGUCUAAUCUUUCUUUAAAGUUCAAAUUAACAGAAAGGAUUGGCACCUCGAUGUUGGCUUAAGAUUUCUUUUUUAUGCAGCAGUAAAAAUAGUAGGUUUGUUCACCUUUAAAAUC
Molecule: ribosomal RNA, 474 nt
Filed under: Spirobrachia sp. HFV-2001
Lineage: Eukaryota; Metazoa; Annelida; Polychaeta; Sabellida; Siboglinidae
Description: partial 16S ribosomal RNA
Rfam family: Bacterial large subunit ribosomal RNA
Source: RNAcentral